CUUGGGCCUUAUGGCCAUAAUUCUAUUGCCAUAAUGAAUAUUGCAUGCAUUAACUACCGGGACCCUAGCGACUGGGAUAACAUAGGGAAACUUAUGCUAAUACCGGAUAGGUUUUUGGAUCGCAUGGUCCGAAAAGAAAAAGGCGGCUUCGGCUGUCACUGGGAGAUGGGCCUGCGGCGUUACAUUAGCUAGUUGGUGGGGUAACGGCCUAGGCGACGAUGCGUAGCCGACCUGAGAGGGUGACCGGCCACACUGGGACUGAGACACGGCCCAGACUCCUAUACGGGAGGCAGCAGUAGGGAAUUUGCCACAAUGGACGGAAAGUCUGGGAUGGAGCAACGCCGCGUGGGAAAGGUCUUCGGAUUGUAAAGUUCUGUUGUCAGGGACGGAACAAGUACCGUUCGAAUAGGGCGGUACCCCGCCGGUACCUGACGAGAAAGCCACGGCUAACUACGUGCCAGCAGCCGCGGUAAUACGUAGGUGGCAAGCGGUCAGGAAUUAUUGGGCGUAAAGCGCGCGCAGGCGGCUAUGUAAGUCUGGUGUUAAAGCCCGGGGCUCAACCCCGGUUCGCAUCGGAAACUGUGUAGCUUGAGUGCCAAGAAGAGGAAAGCGGUAUUCCACGUGUAGCGGAAUUGCGUAGAGAUGUGGAGGAACAAGCAGUGGCGAAGGCGGCUUUCUGGUCUGUAACUGACGCUGAAUGUCGAAAGCGUGGGGAGCAAACAGGAUUAGAUACCCUGGUAGUCCACGCCGUAAACGAUGAGUGCUAGGUGUUGGCGGGUUUCAAUACCCUCAGUGCCGCAGCUAACGCAAUAAGCACUCCGCCUGGGGAGUACGCUCGCAAGUGAAACUCAAAGGAAUUGACGGGGGCCCGCACAAGGGCUUAAAGCUAAUAAGGAUUUACCC
RNAcentral lists this ribosomal RNA (903 nucleotides) under uncultured Brevibacillus sp. Its description in RNAcentral is "bacterial SSU rRNA". It matches the Rfam family "Bacterial small subunit ribosomal RNA", at positions 71 to 962 of the family's 1533-position model. The record is from RNAcentral. Lineage: Bacteria; Bacillati; Bacillota; Bacilli; Caryophanales; Paenibacillaceae.